GUCGAUCCUGCCGGAGGUCACUGCUAUUGGGAUUCGACUAAGCCAUGCGAGUCGAAUGUAGCAAUACAUGGCGUACUGCUCAGUAACACGUGGACAACCUACCCUUAGGUCGGGGAUAAACCCGGGAAACUGGGUAUAAUACCCGAUAGAUCUCGACUGCUGGAAUGCAUCGAGAUCGAAAGCUCCGGCGCCUAAGGAUGGGUCUGCGGCCUAUCAGGUAGUAGUGGGUGUAGCGUACCUACUAGCCUACGACGGGUACGGGUUGUGAGAGCAAGAGCCCGGAGAUGGAUUCUGAGACACGAAUCCAGGCCCUACGGGGUGCAGCAGGCGCGAAAACUUUACAAUGCUGGAAACAGCGAUAAGGGGACCUCGAGUGCCAGGUUACAAAUCUGGCUGUCGUGAUGCCUAAAAAGCAUUGCAUAGCAAGGGCCGGGCAAGACCGGUGCCAGCCGCCGCGGUAACACCGGCGGCUCGAGUGGUAACCGUUAUUAUUGGGUCUAAAGGGUCUGUAGCCGGCCGGAUAAGUCUCUUGGGAAAUCCAGCAGCUCAACUGUUGGGCUUUCAGGAGAUACUGUCUGGCUCGAGGCCGGGAGAGGUGAGAGGUACUUCAGGGGUAGGGGUGAAAUCUUGUAAUCCUUGAAGGACCACCAGUGGCGAAGGCGUCUCACCAGAACGGACCUGACGGCAAGGGACGAAAGCUAGGGGCACGAACCGGAUUAGAUACCCGGGUAGUCCUAGCCGUAAACGAUACUCGCUAGGUGUCGGCCACGGUGCGACCGUUGUCGGUGCCGUAGGGAAGCCGUGAAGCGAGCCACCUGGGAAGUACGGCCGCAAGGCUGAAACUUAAAGGAAUUGGCGGGGGAGCACCACAAC
This 873-nucleotide ribosomal RNA is filed under the name uncultured archaeon. RNAcentral describes it as "bacterial SSU rRNA". It matches the Rfam family "Archaeal small subunit ribosomal RNA", at positions 7 to 885 of the family's 1478-position model. The record is from RNAcentral.